Molecule: ribosomal RNA, 580 nt
Filed under: uncultured bacterium
Lineage: Bacteria
Description: partial 16S ribosomal RNA
Rfam family: Bacterial small subunit ribosomal RNA
Source: RNAcentral
UGGGGAAUUUUGGACAAUGGGCGAAAGCCUGAUCCAGCAAUGCCGCGUGUGUGAAGAAGGCCUUCGGGUUGUAAAGCACUUUUGUCCGGAAAGAAAUCCUUGGCUCUAAUACAGUCGGGGGAUGACGGUACCGGAAGAAUAAGCACCGGCUAACUACGUGCCAGCAGCCGCGGUAAUACGUAGGGUGCAAGCGUUAAUCGGAAUUACUGGGCGUAAAGCGUGCGCAGGCGGUUUGCUAAGACCGAUGUGAAAUCCCCGGGCUCAACCUGGGAACUGCAUUGGUGACUGGCAGGCUAGAGUAUGGCAGAGGGGGUAGAAUUCCACGUGUAGCAGUGAAAUGCGUAGAGAUGUGGAGGAAUACCGAUGGCGAAGGCAGCCCCCUGGGCCAAAUACUGACGCUCAUGCACGAAAGCGUGGGGAGCAAACAGGAUUAGAUACCCUGGUAGUCCACGCCCUAAAACGAUGUCAACUAGUUGUUGGGGAUUCAUUUCCUUAGUAACGUAGCUAACGCGUGAAGUUGACCGCCUGGGGAGUACGGUCGCAAGAUUAAAACUCAAAUGAAUUGACGGGGUCAUAGCUG